Long non-coding RNA from Cornus florida, 2910 nucleotides. RefSeq lists it as uncharacterized. The transcript has 4 exons. The record is from RefSeq and is a predicted model, not a curated record. NCBI's taxonomy places the organism in Eukaryota, Viridiplantae, Streptophyta, Magnoliopsida, Cornales, Cornaceae.
GAGUUCAAACACGCCCUUCGAAAAUUUUGAGGGAAAAUUUUACUUCUAGAAGUUGAUAGAAAAUAAAUAGUACUAUACAAUUGAGUCCCUCUCUCAGUCUCUCUCUCUUCCCAAAGUUUCAAUUGCUGAAAUCUCUUUCCUUCUCCUUUUCUCUCGAACCAAACGAGCAUAAGUGUUGAAAGUUUUAACUUAAUUUUUCUCUGUUAUUUUCCUCCUGUUUCUGGGCAACCAAACGGACCGCCGGUAUCAGAGUCAGACGUCUUCACCUUUCGUCUCCUUCCGCAAGAACUAUGGUCCGUCAUUGUUCAGGUGUAAUUGUUGGGGUUGAGGCUGAUAGAUUUCCUCUUGUGAGAAUGUGUAAUUGCUGGGGUUGAGGCUCAUGAAUUUCAUCUUGUGAGAAUGAAGUUGCAAGUUUAAUCCUGGAGUAACAAACAACUGUACUGUGAUGACCUUGUGAGCGGGUGCAAGAGACACUAUCAGGCUACCACACUGGCGAGCUACGGGUGCACAAUCCCACAUCGCCUGGGUAGAGGAAAGGUGAAGUUCUUAUAUGUAAGUGUGUCACCUCCAAUUGGUAUGAGGCUUUUUGGGGUGAAGCCCAAGACCAAAACCGUGCGGGCUCAGGCCCAAAGCGGACAAUAUCAUACCACGUGGUGGAGUGAGUCGUUACAAAUGGUAUCAGAGCCUGACCCAGCCGGAAGUGUGCCGACGGGGACGUCGGGCCUCCAAGUGGGGUGGAUUGUGAUGACCUUGUGGGCGGGUGUGCCGUGAGCGGGUGCAAGAGACACUAUUAGGCUACCAAACUGGCGAGUUACGGGUGCAUAAUCCUACAUCGCCUGGGUAGAGGAAAGGUGAAGUUCUUAUAUGUAAGUGUGUCACCUCCAAUACCAAUGAGGCCUUUUGGGGUGAAGCCCAAGAGCAAAACCGUGCGGGCUCAGGCCCAAAGCGGACAAUAUCAUACCAUGUGGUGGAGUGGGUCAUGUACGCAUAUAUUUCUACUCUACUUAUGAGGGAUCUUAUCAGAUUCAAAUAGAAAAUAUAUAUGCCUAUACUUUUUAUUAUUAUGUUAAAGUUUGAGUUGAUUCUAGAUAAAAUACUUUGAUUGAACAUUCAAAAAAACAAUAUAAAGAAGUGGGAAUUGUACGAGGGGCAUUCCGAGAAUCAAACUCGGGACCUCUCGCACCCAAAGCGAGAAUCAUACCACUAGACCAAAUGCCCUUGAUGUUUAUGGGACUCUAAUUAAUAUCUUUAUAGGUGACAAAUGCAUCUUACUAUUUAUUUCUCUGUUAGUUUCCUCCUUGAACUACUAUGUUGAAACUGGAUGUCCUCUUCUACUUUUGCGGAAGUUGCCCAAGGAAUUUUGUUAUCUUUCUAAUGGGAGGACCCACAAAAGGUUAUUAAUGUGAGUCAUUGUGAUUAAUUAGCACCUAUAGUUUUGAUAUGAUUAGAUUUUUCUUUUUCUGAAGUGAAUAUGAUUAUAUUUCUUCUAGUUAGCAAGUUGUGAUUGAUUUUCAUAUUUUGAAUCAAUCACAUUCAUAAUUGAACAAUACUACUUCCACCUUUAUAAUUGAACAAUACUACUUCCACCUUUAUAAUUGAACAAGACCACAUCAGUAGUUGAAAUUCUUGUCAAAUAAUCCAGUUAGGAAUAGGUAUUCACCGUAUUUGUGUCGCAUCAUUUUAUAUGUUCAUAGUGCAUGCAAUGAGAUUUCAUGGAGAUAUCAUGAAUUUUUAAGAUUAUCUGAGAAUGCAAGUAUAUUGCAUUCAGAGCUGAAAUUGAAAUCUUAUAAGAAGUGGACCACUUUAUUGAAGAACUAACCUAUCUGCUAAUGAUCAGGUCACUUACCAGAAUAUGGGCUUUCUUUAGGAGCGAUUUUCAGUUUUACCUUUGGUUUAGAUAGUUUAAAUGGGUUGUGAUUUCUAUAUAAAUUAUUUUCAAGGGAAAACUAUUUAAGAAAUAAUGAUCUUGAUGAAUUAUUGAUUCGUGCAUAACAAGUAGUAAUUCAAUUAUAUAAUAAUUCUUAGUUCUAAAAGCUUAUGAUUGAUAUAAACAAUUACUUCCAUUCAGUUCAUUUUUCAACCAAUCUCUAGAAGCUCAGUGCCCCUAUUGUUGUGAAUUGUAACUAGUCUCAGGUGUGCUGUGGUGUUGGAGCAGUAUAUUUCAGAAGGAAAAGCUGAUUUAGUGAUUAAAUUGGUCAAAGUAACCCGAAAGGUGUACUCAUUGAGGGUUCAAUUGGACAAUCAAAUAAGGGCCAAUUAGUCGUCGCAACUGUGAAAUUCUAACAAAGUGUGAGAAGGCACAAUCUGAGCAGAAAAUGUGUGAGUAACCUGAAACAUUGUCGGCAAUUUUGCAAGGAAAGAUAUGUUGAUGCAAGAUUCUGCACAACCCGGAACGACACCGCUUCCUGCAAAGAAUGGCCCUUGAUGGCACCGGUGUGGUGCUUGCCAAGAGCUCUCCGACGAUCAAGUCAGUUGUUGGAGCUUUGAAAUAAAGGUAGGAAUUUUAUAAUUAAUUUUUCUCAUACCUGUUUGCUUGAUCAGACUUGUAUUUAUAGCUGGUUCAGUCUGUUGCAACUUGUUGGGAUUCUAGGAGAAUUGUAAAGAUUCGAGGAUAUUCUUCCUACUGAUCCGAGCUUUGAAUUUAAACUUUCUUUAUAUGCUUGUCAUCUUUCAUUUAAUUUCAAACUUUUCAAUCCAUCCGGUCUGUUUAGCCACUCCGUUUGUUGAGCAACCUUGAUACAAAUUAUCCCCAUCAUGUUGAUUGUCCACCAGUGAAACACUGUUAGAAUCUUUUAUAUCUUGGGUGUUUAGAGACUGGUUAAAUGGGGAGCUAAAUUGUGUUUGUUGCUAUGUAACUAAAUGUGGAUCUUUUUAUGUAUUCUAAUUUGAGUAGUUGUGUGUUGACUUUAA